AAGUCGUAACAAGGUCUCCGUAGGUGAACCUGCGGAGGGAUCAUUACACAAUACGAAGGCGGGGCUGGACACCCCCAGCUGGGCACUGCUUCACGGCGUGCGCGGUUGGGCUGGCCCUGCUGAACUAUUCACCCGUGUCUUUUGCGUACCUCUUGUUUCCUGGGCGGGCUCGCCCGCCACCAGGACCAACCAUAAACCUUUUUGUAAUAGCAAUCCGCGUCAGUAACAAUCGUAAUAAAAUUACAACUUUCAACAACGGAUCUCUUGGUUCUG
This 273-nucleotide unclassified non-coding RNA is filed under the name Alternaria obclavata. RNAcentral's name for it is "partial internal transcribed spacer region". The stretch from base 1 to 46 matches the Rfam family "Eukaryotic small subunit ribosomal RNA", at positions 1786 to 1831 of the family's 1831-position model. The record is from RNAcentral. Lineage: Eukaryota; Fungi; Ascomycota; Dothideomycetes; Pleosporales; Pleosporaceae.